Molecule: ribosomal RNA, 490 nt
Filed under: uncultured bacterium
Lineage: Bacteria
Description: partial 16S ribosomal RNA
Rfam family: Bacterial small subunit ribosomal RNA
Source: RNAcentral
AUUGAACGCUGGCGGCAGGCCUAACACAUGCAAGUCGAGCGGCAGCGGAAAGUAGCUUGCUACUUUGCCGGCGAGCGGCGGACGGGUGAGUAAUGUCUGGGAAACUGCCUGAUGGAGGGGGAUAACUACUGGAAACGGUAGCUAAUACCGCAUAACGUCGCAAGACCAAAGAGGGGGACCUUCGGGCCUCUUGCCAUCAGAUGUGCCCAGAUGGGAUUAGCUAGUAGGUGGGGUAACGGCUCACCUAGGCGACGAUCCCUAGCUGGUCUGAGAGGAUGACCAGCCACCCUGGAACUGAGACACGGUCCAGACUCCUACGGGAGGCAGCAGUGGGGAAUAUUGCACAAUGGGCGCAAGCCUGAUGCAGCCAUGCCGCGUGUAUGAAGAAGGCCUUCGGGUUGUAAAGUACUUUCAGCGGGGAGGAAGGUGUUGAGGUUAAUAACCUCAGCAAUUGACGUUACCCGCAGAAGAAGCACCGGCUAACUCCGUG